GGCUUUCGGACAGUCUUUUGUCUGGGAGUCUUUUUGUUGCUAAGCGACUGCAGGAAGCUUGUCAUUAGCUAGUGGUGGCUCAGUGGCUGGUUGGCAGCACGCGUGUGGACAUUGGGCGGAACGAACAGCGUAGCUGCUCUUCAAAGCCAACGCGCGUUUGUCUAGAGAACAAAGAGCGACGAGUGAUACAGACCAAAAAGUGUGGAGUGAAACAGAGGAACAAAGCGUGCAGCACAGCCAGGCCCACGAACUCGUGUGGUCUGUUUGAGAGAAAUUUGAGAAAGAGAAGGCAAACAAUUCUUACUUCCUGGUGGUCAAGAUGUGAAGAGGAGACUGCAGCAGCUUCGAUUGUACUGAUACGAAAAGACAAUGAGAUUUCCCAUUAUCUUUCCUCGCUGCCAGAUGAUCCUCAGGAUUCGGAAGCUGAAGCUGAUUAUCUUGAAGAGGACAAUACUUCAAAUGCAGAGUCAUCUAGAAGUGGUAUGCCACAUGAGGUAUCAGAAAAUCGAACAGCAGGUAGUAGUUCAGACAUUUCACAAAUAACAAAUAACAUUGACAGUAGAAUUGCAAAUGUCUUUCCUGUUAUUUUCGCUGAUGAGAACUCUUAUGAAAGAAGAGAUAAGAGAUCAAGAUGUGAUUCUGACAGUGACUGGGAUGAUUAGAUAAGAUUGGUU
Schistocerca gregaria is the source of this 674-nucleotide long non-coding RNA. RefSeq lists it as uncharacterized. The transcript is spliced from 3 exons. NCBI's taxonomy places the organism in Eukaryota, Metazoa, Arthropoda, Insecta, Orthoptera, Acrididae. The record is from RefSeq and is a predicted model, not a curated record.